This 274-nucleotide ribosomal RNA is filed under the name uncultured bacterium. Its description in RNAcentral is "partial 16S ribosomal RNA". It matches the Rfam family "Bacterial small subunit ribosomal RNA", at positions 523 to 796 of the family's 1533-position model. The record is from RNAcentral.
AUACGGAGGGUGCAAGCGUUACUCGGAAUUACUGGGCGUAAAGGACGCGUAGGCGGUUUAGAAAGUCAGAUGUGAAAGCCUAUGGCUUAACCAUAGAACUGCAUCUGAAACUCCUAGACUAGAGUGAGGGAGAGGUCAGUGGAAUUAGUGGUGUAGGGGUAAAAUCCGUAGAGAUCACUAGGAAUACUCAUAGCGAAGGCGACUGACGGGAACUUUACUGACGCUGAGGCGUGAAAGCGUGGGGAGCAAACAGGAUUAGAAACCCUAGUAGUCC